This 646-nucleotide long non-coding RNA is filed under the name Anas platyrhynchos platyrhynchos (common mallard). RNAcentral's name for it is "lncRNA (ENSAPLG00000023539.1)". Lineage: Eukaryota; Metazoa; Chordata; Aves; Anseriformes; Anatidae. The record is from RNAcentral.
AAGAUGACUUUUAUUGCUUUAUACAACUUUUGUUAUUGUUUUGCCUUAUGCCUGGCAAGCAGAAGGGAAUGUAAUGAAGCAGUAUAAUAUUUCUGUAAUACCUAUUAUUUAUAUAAAAUCUUAAAAAUACCUUAAUCCUCCUGCAGAACUUUACAGAAGGUUCAUCAGAUCUGACAAAUAACCUGUUAGUUGAUUGCCUUUAUGCUCAGGCCCAUAAUCCCGUGGAAAUAACCUGUUUUGUUCGGUAUUGUUGCUCCUCAGAAGAUCAGUUUUACAUGCCUUAUGGAUGUCUGCUGUGGUAUCAUCUGACAUCUGUGGGCCUAGGAUUUUCUCAAGUUGCCUUCCAUAGACGGCACUACAAGGACCAUUUCACUGUCCCCUUUGGCUUCUGCAUCUUGCUUCCAGUGUGAACAGACAGCCAUCCUGCAGACAUCGAGCACAUGACUGUCAUUGUGGAUCCAGUCUUCAUGGCUUCCAGAGUGCAGAUAUCCAGGAGCUUUAGUGUGUGUGUAUUAAGAUCUCACCAUUUGUGGCAUAAAGAAAUUUGUUACUUAUGACUUUUGGUAUUAGUAAGUUACUGUGCAGAGCACACAGACAGCAAUUGACCAAAAAGAGCUUUUUGGCUCAGAAGCCCACUGGAAAUGGA